RNAcentral lists this unclassified non-coding RNA (197 nucleotides) under plant metagenome. RNAcentral describes it as "partial contains small subunit ribosomal RNA, internal transcribed spacer 1, and 5.8S ribosomal RNA". The record is from RNAcentral.
UCUCCGUUGGUGAACCAGCGGAGGGAUCAUUACCGAGUGCAAACUCAUAACCCUUUGUGAACCUAUAUCUGUUGCUUCGGCGGCUCGCUCUCGGGCGAGCCCGCCGGUAAUAUCAGUAUCUCUGUUUGAACCCGACGAUACUACUGAGUGUUCUUAGCGAACAGUUAAAACUUUUAACAACGGAUCUCUUGGCUCUA